This 254-nucleotide ribosomal RNA is filed under the name uncultured bacterium. RNAcentral's name for it is "partial 16S ribosomal RNA". It matches the Rfam family "Bacterial small subunit ribosomal RNA", at positions 795 to 1052 of the family's 1533-position model. The record is from RNAcentral.
CCACGCAGUAAACGAUGAUUACUAGCUGUUUGCGAUACACAGUAAGCGGCUUAGCGAAAGCGUUAAGUAAUCCACCUGGGGAGUACGUUCGCAAGAAUGAAACUCAAAGGAAUUGACGGGGGCCCGCACAAGCGGAGGAACAUGUGGUUUAAUUCGAUGAUACGCGAGGAACCUUACCCGGGCUUGAAAUGCAUUUGAUCGGCAAAGAGAUUUGCCUUCCCUUCGGGGCAGAUGUGUAGGUGCUGCAUGGUUGU